AGCGAACGCUGGCGGCAGGCCUAACACAUGCAAGUCGAACGAACCUUUCGGGGUUAGUGGCGGACGGGUGAGUAACACGUGGGAACGUGCCUUUAGGUUCGGAAUAACUCAGGGAAACUUGUGCUAAUACCGAAUGUGCCCUUCGGGGGAAAGAUUUAUCGCCUUUAGAGCGGCCCGCGUCUGAUUAGCUAGUUGGUUGAGGUAAUGGCUCACCAAGGCGACGAUCAGGAGCUGGUCUGAGAGGAUGAUCAGCCACAUUGGGACUGAGACACGGCCCAAACUCCUACGGGAGGCAGCAGUGGGGAAUCUUGCGCAAUGGGUGAAAGCCUGACGCAGCCAUGCCGCGUGAAUGAUGAAGGUCUUAGGAUUGUAAAAUUCUUUCACCGGGGACGAUAAUGACGGUACCCGGAGAAGAAGCCCCGGCUAACUUCGUG
RNAcentral lists this ribosomal RNA (434 nucleotides) under uncultured bacterium. RNAcentral's name for it is "partial 16S ribosomal RNA". It matches the Rfam family "Bacterial small subunit ribosomal RNA", at positions 29 to 507 of the family's 1533-position model. The record is from RNAcentral.